GAUUCUACUGACAAACUUGCCAGAAUUAGGCCUCUAUUAGACUCUGUUCUUGAAAGAUGUCGAGUAGCUAAUAAACGUUUACUCUUCCUUAUUAUCCAUGUCAUGAUGAUGUAUGCGUGACUGGACAUUAAGCAGCAAACAAUCAAUCAACUAUGUUUUAAUACGAUUAUUUUAGUUUAAAUUAAAAAUGUGUUAUCCUUGCAAUUGAUCCUUUAUAAAUCAAAACAUUUACUUAAUAUAUAUAGAAUACAUGUAUAAAUGAGAUACCUUUAGCACAUAAAACAUGUACUCACAGAAUAUAUUACUUGUUGUAUACCAGUUAUUUUAGAGUGAUAUUACUGAAAGGAGGCAAAAAGAUGGUACUGUUAAACAAAUCACAAGACCACGGAUCAUUACUAAUUACCAGGCAAACUUUCAUGGUGUUGAUAUUAAUAUUUGUGACCAACUUCAGUCAAAAUAUCCUGUUGGAAGAAGCUCCAAAAAGUGGUGGAAAUUUCUUUUCUUCUUUCUCACUAAUUUGUGUGUAAUAAAUGGCUUUGUAUUGUAUGACCAUUUCAACCAAGUAAAACAAAAAGAAAAAAAGAUACACCCAACUUGAUUUAAGGAUUAAUUUGGUGUCACAUUUAAUCAAUGGCUACUCUUUCACUAAACGGAGAGCCCCUGCUCUAGUUGUUUACGCAAUGAACAU
Molecule: long non-coding RNA, 688 nt
Filed under: Mytilus galloprovincialis (Mediterranean mussel)
Lineage: Eukaryota; Metazoa; Mollusca; Bivalvia; Mytilida; Mytilidae
Source: RNAcentral